GGGGAUAUGGCGAAAUUGGYAGACGAAAAUCCGUCGACUUUAAAAAUCGUGAGGGUUCAAGUCCCUCUAUCCCCA
This 75-nucleotide transfer RNA is filed under the name Solanum armentalis. Its description in RNAcentral is "tRNA-Leu". It matches the Rfam family "tRNA". From Rfam's summary of the family: Transfer RNA (tRNA) molecules are approximately 80 nucleotides in length. The record is from RNAcentral. Lineage: Eukaryota; Viridiplantae; Streptophyta; Magnoliopsida; Solanales; Solanaceae.